GUGGCGGACGGGUGAGUAACGCGUGAGAAUCUGCCUCUGGGUUCGGGACAACAGUUGGAAACGACUGCUAAUACCGGAUGUGCCUUCGGGUGAAAGAUUUAUUGCCUAGAGAUGAGCUCGCGUUGGAUUAGCUAGUUGGUGGGGUAAGAGCCCACCAAGGCGACGAUCUAUAGCUGGUCUGAGAGGAUGAUCAGCCACACUGGGACUGAGACACGGCCCAGACUCCUACGGGAGGCAGCAGUGGGGAAUUUUCCGCAAUGGGCGAAAGCCUGACGGAGCAAUACCGCGUGAGGGAGGAAGGCUUUUGGGUUGUAAACCUCUUUUCUCAAGGAAGAAUACAAUGACGGUACUUGAGGAAUAAGCAUCGGCUAACUCCGUGCCAGCAGCCGCGGUAAUACGGAGGAUGCAAGCGUUAUCCGGAAUGAUUGGGCGUAAAGCGUCCGCAGGUGGUUAUGCAAGUCUGCAGUUAAAGAGUGAAGCUUAACUUCAUAAGGGCUGUGGAAACUGCGUGACUAGAGUGCGUUCGGGGUAGAGGGAAUUCCUGGUGUAGCGGUGAAAUGCGUAGAUAUCAGGAAGAACACCGGUGGCGAAGGCGCUCUACUAGGCCGCAACUGACACUGAGGGACGAAAGCUAAGGGAGCGAAUGGGAUUAGAUACCCCAGUAGUCUUAGCUGUAAACGAUGGAUACUAGGCGUUGCUUGUAUCGACCCGAGCAGUGCCGUAGCUAACGCGUUAAGUAUCCCGCCUGGGGAGUACGCACGCAAGUGUGAAACUCAAAGGAAUUGACGGGGCCCGCACAAGCGGUGGAGUAUGUGGUUUAAUUCGAUGCAACGCGAAGAACCUUACCA
This 848-nucleotide ribosomal RNA is filed under the name uncultured bacterium. RNAcentral's name for it is "bacterial SSU rRNA". It matches the Rfam family "Bacterial small subunit ribosomal RNA", at positions 95 to 976 of the family's 1533-position model. The record is from RNAcentral.